CUUAAAAUUUAAUUAAAUUAAAAAUUUCACUUAAUAAUUUAAUAUUUAUUUUAAUUAAUAUUUUAUUUAUUAAAUACUGAAAUAAUUUAAUUUAAUUUUUGUAUAACCGCAACUGCUGGCACAAAAUUAGUUAUUAAUUUUUAUAUUACUAAAUCUUAAUUUCUUAAAUUUUUAAUUUUAAUUACUACAAUUCUUAUAAUUAUUAUUAAAAUAAUUAAAAUUUAAUACUAAAAUUUAUAUGUAAAAUAAAUUUAUAAUAAAUUAUAAAAAACAUAAAAAUUUUAUU
This 286-nucleotide ribosomal RNA is filed under the name Erebia palarica. RNAcentral's name for it is "partial 12S ribosomal RNA". The record is from RNAcentral. Lineage: Eukaryota; Metazoa; Arthropoda; Insecta; Lepidoptera; Nymphalidae.